CCUACGGGUGGCUGCAGUGAGGAAUAUUGGUCAAUGGGCGAGAGCCUGAACCAGCCAAGUCGCGUGAGGGAGUACUGCCCUAUGGGUUGUAAACCUCUUUUUUCGGGGAGCAAAAGCCGGACGUGUCCGGCUGUGAGAUUACCCGAAGAUAAAGCAUCGGCUAACUCCGUGUCAGCAGCCGCGGUAAUACGGAGGAUGCGAGCGUUAUCCGGAUCUAUUUGGUUUAAAGGGUGCGCAGGCGGAGUUUUAAGUCUGCGGUAACAUCGUUGAGCUAAACCCCAUCCAGCCGUUGAAACUGGGGAUCUAGAGUGUGCGAGAGGUAUGCGGAAGGCGUGGUGGAGCGGUGAAAUGCAUAGAUAUCACGCAGAACCCCGAUUGCGAAGGCAGCAUACCGGUGCACAACUGACGCUCAGGCACGAAAGCGUGGGUAUCGAACAGGAUUAGAUACACCUGUAGUC
Molecule: ribosomal RNA, 458 nt
Filed under: uncultured bacterium
Lineage: Bacteria
Description: partial 16S ribosomal RNA
Rfam family: Bacterial small subunit ribosomal RNA
Source: RNAcentral